GAUGAAGAACGUAGCGAAAUGCGAUAGGUAAUGUGAAUUGCAGAAUUCAGUGAAUCAUCGAAUCUUUGAAUGCACAUUGCGCCCUCUGGUAUUCCGGGGGGCAUGCCUGUUCGAGCGUCAUUACAACCCUCAAGCUCUGCUUGGUAUUGGGCUCUGCCGGUCCUGGCAGGCCUCAAAGUCAGUGGCGGUGCCAUCCGGCUCCAAGCGUAGUAAUUCUUCUCGCUUCGGAGGCCGCGGUGCGUGCUAGCCAGCAACCCCCAAUUUUUUUCAGGUUGACCUCGGAUCAGGUAGGGAUACCCGCUGAACUUAAGCAUAUCAAUAAGCGGAGGA
RNAcentral lists this unclassified non-coding RNA (330 nucleotides) under soil metagenome. Its description in RNAcentral is "partial contains 5.8S ribosomal RNA, internal transcribed spacer 2, and large subunit ribosomal RNA". The stretch from base 1 to 120 matches the Rfam family "5.8S ribosomal RNA", at positions 35 to 154 of the family's 154-position model. The record is from RNAcentral.